AUUCAGCCCCGAUCAUAGCGGCAUCCCCCGAUGUAUUCGGGGAUAUAGCGGAGAGCGGGAUCGUGU
Molecule: small RNA, 66 nt
Filed under: Flavobacterium fontis
Lineage: Bacteria; Pseudomonadati; Bacteroidota; Flavobacteriia; Flavobacteriales; Flavobacteriaceae
Description: Flavo-1 RNA
Rfam family: Flavo-1 RNA
Source: Rfam by way of RNAcentral